Molecule: unclassified non-coding RNA, 396 nt
Filed under: soil metagenome
Description: partial contains 5.8S ribosomal RNA, internal transcribed spacer 2, and large subunit ribosomal RNA
Rfam family: 5.8S ribosomal RNA (bases 1-121)
Source: RNAcentral
GAUGAAGAACGCAGCGAAAUGCGAUAAGUAGUGUGAAUUGCAGAAUUCAGUGAAUCAUCGAAUCUUUGAACGCACCUUGCGCCCUUUGGCUAUUCCGAAGGGCAUGCCUGUUUGAGUAUCAUGAACACCUCAAUCUCCAUCUUUUCUUCGGAUUGAUGGGUGACUUGGAUGUUGAGCCCUGCUGGUAUGCUAUAUCAGCUGGCUUUAAACUUAUUAGCCGGCUCUGUACUGGAUCGGUUUGACUCGACGUGAUAAUAUUAUCGUUGAGGAUGCAUGUCUCAUGCAGCCGGAAAGUAUCAAAGCAGCUUCUAGCUUGCCUUUAGUGCACUUUUACAUUUUAGACCUCAGAUCAGGUGGGACUACCCGCUGAACUUAAGCAUAUCAAUAAGCGGAGGA